This 520-nucleotide ribosomal RNA is filed under the name uncultured bacterium. RNAcentral describes it as "partial 16S ribosomal RNA". It matches the Rfam family "Bacterial small subunit ribosomal RNA", at positions 28 to 507 of the family's 1533-position model. The record is from RNAcentral.
GACGAACGCUGGCGGCGUGCCUAAUACAUGCAAGUCGAACGCACUCUCGUUUAGAUUGAAGGAGUUUGCUCCUGAUUGAUAAACAUUUGAGUGAGUGGCGGACGGGUGAGUAACACGUGGGUAACCUGCCCUAAAGUGGGGGAUAACAUUUGGAAACAGAUGCUAAUACCGCAUAAAACCUAACACCGCAUGGUGUAGGGUUGAAAGAUGGUUUCGGCUAUCACUUUAGGAUGGACCCGCGGUGCAUUAGUUAGUUGGUGAGGUAAAGGCUCACCAAGACCGUGAUGGAUAGCCCAACUGAGAGGGUAAUCGGCCACACUGGGACUUAGACACGGCCCAGGCUCCUAAGGGAGGCAGCAGUAGGGAAUCUUCCACAAUGGACGAAAGUCUGGUGGAACAACGGCGCGUGAGUGAAGAAGGUUUUCGGAUCGUAAAACUCUGUUGUUGGAGAAGAAUGUAUCUGAUAGUAACUGAUCAGGUAGUGACGGUAUCCAACCAGAAAGCCACGGCUAACUACGUG